CUCCGCGUAGCUCAGGGGAUAGAGCGGCCGCCUCCUAAGCGGCAGGUCGUUGGUUCGAUUCCAAUCGUGGAGACCA
The sequence is a transfer RNA, 76 nucleotides long. It matches the Rfam family "tRNA". From Rfam's summary of the family: Transfer RNA (tRNA) molecules are approximately 80 nucleotides in length. Their secondary structure includes four short double-helical elements and three loops (D, anti-codon, and T loops). Further hydrogen bonds mediate the characteristic L-shaped molecular structure. tRNAs have two regions of fundamental functional importance: the anti-codon, which is responsible for specific mRNA codon recognition, and the 3' end, to which the tRNAs corresponding amino acid is attached (by aminoacyl-tRNA synthetases). tRNAs cope with the degeneracy of the genetic code in two manners: having more than one tRNA (with a specific anti-codon) for a particular amino acid; and 'wobble' base-pairing, i.e. permitting non-standard base-pairing at the 3rd anti-codon position.